This 460-nucleotide ribosomal RNA is filed under the name uncultured bacterium. RNAcentral's name for it is "partial 16S ribosomal RNA". It matches the Rfam family "Bacterial small subunit ribosomal RNA", at positions 338 to 795 of the family's 1533-position model. The record is from RNAcentral.
CCUACGGGAGGCAGCAGUGAGGAAUAUUGGUCAAUGGACGAGAGUCUGAACCAGCCAAGUAGCGUGAAGGAUGACUGCCCUAUGGGUUGUAAACUUCUUUUAUAUGGGAAUAAAACGUUCCACGUGUGGGAUUUUGUAUGUACCAUAUGAAUAAGGAUCGGCUAACUCCGUGCCAGCAGCCGCGGUAAUACGGAGGAUCCGAGCGUUAUCCGGAUUUAUUGGGUUUAAAGGGAGCGUAGGUGGAUUGUUAAGUCAGUUGUGAAAGUUUGCGGCUCAACAGUAAAAUUGCAGUUGAAACUGGCAGUCUUGAGUACAGUAGAGGUGGGCGGAAUUCGUGGUGUAGCGGUGAAAUGCUUAGAUAUCACGAAGAACUCCGAUUGCGAAGGCAGUUCACUGGACUGCAACUGACACUGAGGCUCGAAAGUGUGGGUAUCAAACAGGAUUAGAUACCCCUGUAGUC